UCUCCGUUGGUGAACCAGCGGAGGGAUCAUUACCGAGUUUACAACUCCCAAACCCCAAUGUGAACGUUACCAAUCUGUUGCCUCGGCGGGGUUCUAUGUUCUGCCCCGGGCGCGUCGCAGCCCCGGACCAGGGCGCCCGCCGGAGGACCAACUUACAAACUCUUCUGUAUCCAAGUCCCCCUGCGGACUGUAUUGCAUCUGAGCUUUCUCGGCGCCCCUAGCGGGCGUUUCGAAAAUGAAUCAAAACUUUCAACAACGGAUCUCUUGGUUCUGGCAUCGAUGAAGAACGCAGCGAAAUGCGAUAAGUAAUGUGAAUUGCAGAAUUCAGUGAAUCAUCGAAUCUUUGAACGCACAUUGCGCCCGCCAGUAUUCUGGCGGGCAUGCCUGUCCGAGCGUCAUUUCAACCCUCGAGCCCCUCCGGGGGGUCGGCGUUGGGGAUCGGCACUUAUACCGCCGGCCCCGAAAUACAGUGGCGGUCUCGCCGCAGCCUCUCCUGCGCAGUAGUUUGCACACUCGCACCGGGAGCGCGGCGCGCCCACGGCCGUAAAACAACCCAAGCUUCUGAAAGGUUGACCUCGGAUCAGGUAGGAAUACCCGCUGAACUUAA
RNAcentral lists this ribosomal RNA (607 nucleotides) under Trichoderma sp. LESF545. RNAcentral's name for it is "eukaryotic LSU rRNA". The stretch from base 245 to 398 matches the Rfam family "5.8S ribosomal RNA". The record is from RNAcentral. Lineage: Eukaryota; Fungi; Ascomycota; Sordariomycetes; Hypocreales; Hypocreaceae.